UACGGAGGGGGCUAGCGUUGUUCGGAAUUACUGGGCGUAAAGCGCACGUAGGCGGCUUUGUAAGUUAGAGGUGAAAGCCCGGGGCUCAACCCCGGAAUAGCCUUUAAGACUGCAUCGCUUGAACACGGGAGAGGUGAGUGGAAUUCCGAGUGUAGAGGUGAAAUUCGUAGAUAUUCGGAGGAACACCAGUGGCGAAGGCGGCUCACUGGUCCAUUACUGACGCUGAGGUGCGAAAGCGUGGGGAGCAAACAGG
Molecule: ribosomal RNA, 253 nt
Filed under: uncultured bacterium
Lineage: Bacteria
Description: partial 16S ribosomal RNA
Rfam family: Bacterial small subunit ribosomal RNA
Source: RNAcentral